GGGACACGUGGUAUCCUGUCUGAAUAUGGGGGGACCAUCCUCCAAGGCUAAAUACUCCUGACUGACCGAUAGUGAACCAGUACCGUGAGGGAAAGGCGAAAAGAACCCCGGCGAGGGGAGUGAAAAAGAACCUGAAACCGUGUACGUACAAGCAGUGGGAGCACCUUCGGGUGUGACUGCGUACCUUUUGUAUAAUGGGUCAGCGACUUAUAUUCUGUAGCAAGGUUAACCGUAUAGGGGAGCCGCAGGGAAACCGAGUCUUAACUGGGCGUUAAGUUGCAGGGUAUAGACCCGAAACCCGGUGAUCUAGCCAUGGGCAGGUUGAAGGUUGGGUAACACUAACUGGAGGACCGAACCGACUAAUGUUGAAAAAUUAGCGGAUGACUUGUGGCUGGGGGUGAAAGGCCAAUCAAACCGGGAGAUAGCUGGUUCUCCCCGAAAGCUAUUUAGGUAGCGCCUCGUGAAUUCAUCUUCGGGGGUAGAGCACUGUUUCGGCUAGGGGGUCAUCCCGACUUACCAACCCGAUGCAAACUACGAAUACCGAAGAAUGUUAUCACGGGAGACACACGGCGGGUGCUAACGUCCGUCGUGAAGAGGGAAACAACCCAGACCGCCAGCUAAGGUCCCAAAGUCAUGGUUAAGUGGGAAACGAUGUGGGAAGGCACAGACAGCCAGGAUGUUGGCUUAGAAGCAGCCAUCAUUUAAAGAAAGCGUAAUAGCUCACUGGUCGAGUCGGCCUGCGCGGAAGAUGUAACGGGGCUAAACCAUGCACCGAAGCUGCGGCAGCGACACUAUGUGUUGUUGGGUAGGGGAGCGUUCUGUAAGCCUGCGAAGGUGUGCUGUGAGGCAUGCUGGAGGUAUCAGAAGUGCGAAUGCUGACAUAAGUAACGAUAAAGCGGGUGAAAAGCCCGCUCGCCGGAAGACCAAGGGUUCCUGUCCAACGUUAAUCGGGGCAGGGUGAGUCGACCCCUAAGGCGAGGCCGAAAGGCGUAGUCGAUGGG
Molecule: ribosomal RNA, 1001 nt
Filed under: Klebsiella pneumoniae subsp. pneumoniae
Lineage: Bacteria; Pseudomonadati; Pseudomonadota; Gammaproteobacteria; Enterobacterales; Enterobacteriaceae
Description: partial 23S ribosomal RNA
Rfam family: Bacterial large subunit ribosomal RNA
Source: RNAcentral